RNAcentral lists this ribosomal RNA (468 nucleotides) under uncultured bacterium. RNAcentral's name for it is "partial 16S ribosomal RNA". It matches the Rfam family "Bacterial small subunit ribosomal RNA", at positions 28 to 507 of the family's 1533-position model. The record is from RNAcentral.
GACGAACGCUGGCGGCGUGCUUAACACAUGCAAGUCGAACGGAAAGGCCCUGCUUUUGUGGGGUGCUCGAGUGGCGAACGGGUGAGUAACACGUGAGUAACCUGCCCUUGACUUUGGGAUAACUUCAGGAAACUGGGGCUAAUACCGGAUAGGAGCUCCUGCUGCAUGGUGGGGGUUGGAAAGUUUCGGCGGUUGGGGAUGGACUCGCGGCUUAUCAGCUUGUGGGUGGGGUAGUGGCUUACCAAGGCUUUGACGGGUAGCCGGCCUGAGAGGGUGACCGGCCACAUUGGGACUGAGAUACGGCCCAGACUCCUACGGGAGGCAGCAGUGGGGAAUAUUGCACAAUGGGCGGAAGCCUGAUGCAGCAACGCCGCGUGCGGGAUGAAGGCCUUCGGGUUGUAAACCGCUUUCGCCUGUGACGAAGCGUGAGUGACGGUAAUGGGUAAAGAAGCACCGGCUAACUACGUG